Molecule: ribosomal RNA, 490 nt
Filed under: uncultured bacterium
Lineage: Bacteria
Description: partial 16S ribosomal RNA
Rfam family: Bacterial small subunit ribosomal RNA
Source: RNAcentral
AUUGAACGCUGGCGGCAGGCCUAACACAUGCAAGUCGAACGGUAACAGGAAGCAGCUUGCUGCUUCGCUGACGAGCGGCGGACGGGUGAGUAAUGUCUGGGAAACUGCCUGAUGGAGGGGGAUAACUACUGGAAACGGUAGCUAAUACCGCAUAACGUCGCAAGACCAAAGAGGGGGACCUUAGGGCCUCUUGCCAUCGGAUGUGCCCAGAUGGGAUUAGCUAGUAGGUGGGGUAACGGCUCACCUAGGCGACGAUCCCUAGCUGGUCUGAGAGGAUGACCAGCCACACUGGAACUGAGACACGGUCCAGACUCCUACGGGAGGCAGCAGUGGGGAAUAUUGCACAAUGGGCGCAAGCCUGAUGCAGCCAUGCCGCGUGUAUGGAGAAGGCCUUCGGGUUGUAAAGUACUUUCAGCGGGGAGGAAGGGAGUAAAGUUAAUACCUUUGCUCAUUGACGUUACCCGCAGAAGAAGCACCGGCUAACUCCGUG